CCAAAUGGAAUAUCCAUUAGAGUAUACGAAUCUAAAUUCAUCCAAUUGAAGCUAACCACAUGCAAACGCAACCUAUAAUGAUAUACUCCCAACUCCCGGGACCCAAAUUUUCGUAUCCGAUUUUCCGCCAUGGCAGCAGAAUCGCUGAUCAUCGAAGAAGUCCGGGAAAACCUGGAUCACCUUCUCAGAGAGUUUCAGUCUGCAAGAUUGGGAUUUCCUCCUUCAUCCACCUUUUAUCGUUUCUUGUGAUGAUCAGGGAGUUCCUCCUUCAUCCACCUUUUAAAGAGAAAGGUCGUUUCUUGUAGUUCACACAAGCAUGUGCUUUGUUGCGGGAUCUUUGGGGGGAGAAGAACAAUCGAGUGUUUCAAGGUGUGGAUAGGGACUCUUGUGAGGUUUGGUCCUUGGUUUCUAAUGAAGGUUUCCCCUACAACGGAGCCAACCUUGAUAAACACAGCUGGAUAGCCAACUGGAGCAUCUACUUUAAUUUCGCAGCCUGGUUUAGCAUGUACCUCCCCUGUCCAUAUAUGUUGCCAUGAAGAACUUUCAUUCAAAGGAAAGUAAGCUUUGACAUUGUUCUUUCCUUUGUCAAGGACAGGCACAACUAGGAUCUCAGAACCAACCAAAAACUGCUGGUGACCCAAUGUAAGCACAUAC
This is a non-coding RNA of Benincasa hispida (wax gourd), 654 nucleotides long. The record is from RefSeq and is a predicted model, not a curated record. NCBI's taxonomy places the organism in Eukaryota, Viridiplantae, Streptophyta, Magnoliopsida, Cucurbitales, Cucurbitaceae.